This 252-nucleotide ribosomal RNA is filed under the name uncultured bacterium. RNAcentral describes it as "partial 16S ribosomal RNA". It matches the Rfam family "Bacterial small subunit ribosomal RNA", at positions 524 to 776 of the family's 1533-position model. The record is from RNAcentral.
UACGGAGGAUGCGAGCGUUAUCCGGAUUUAUUGGGUUUAAAGGGUGCGCAGGCGGUCUGUUAAGUCAGCGGUCAAAGCCCGGGGCUCAACCCCGGCCCGCCGUUGAAACUGGCAGUCUCGAGUUGGAGAGAAGUAUGCGGAAUGCGCGGUGUAGCGGUGAAAUGCGUAGAGAUUAGGAAGAACACCAGUGGCGAAGGCGACUUACUGGACUGUAACUGACGCUGAGGCAUGAGAGCAUGGGGAGCAAACAGG